Molecule: long non-coding RNA, 1044 nt
Organism: Gallus gallus (chicken)
Lineage: Eukaryota; Metazoa; Chordata; Aves; Galliformes; Phasianidae
Source: Ensembl
CAGCACAGUGCCCACUCCACACAAACAACCUCCUCCUCCCUCAUCACCAGAGCUGUUCUGCUGGUUAAAUAGAGAAGAAAGAGUAAAUUAGGGGAAGCUCAGCCAGCUGGUGACGAUGCACUGCCUGGUGACCUGCCAGUGCACCUGAGGAGAGAUUCUGUUGUUUUCUGUACAUUUAGCCAAGAAAAUGUCAUCAGCCAUCUUGUUUCUUUCUCCUUUGCCUUUGGAAUCACUAAAUUAAAAUAGAGUUCAGUGCUGUAUGUUUUAACUAAGAACCUUCGUGUGAGCUGACAAUCGAAAAAUUAUUUUUCUAUUUUAAUUUUUCACAAUUCUCUGAAAUGGCUGCAAACUCUGGAGUGCACCUCUGAGAGUGCAAUUAUGUCAUAUUGAGCGAAGGACCACCGAUGGAAUUGCUUGAAGCGUUAUUUAGUAGUAUUGCAGGCUCUGAGCCUUGAACACUUCAAGAUGUAAUAUGAGUAAUCCAGUGCUAUUUCCCACUUUAUCUAGAUGCAGCAUUAUUAUAGUUGCAGCUUUCUCAUUAUAAUUGUGCUAAUGGGGAAGGGGGGAAGGAGGGAGAAGAAUGAGAAAGAUAAAUGGCAGGAAGAAACUCCCUUUCCCAGCAGGGAAAAAGAGAAAAAUGAUUUUUAUGAUCUCAUUCUUGGUGUUGGUGAAAGACUGCUUAGCUGAGGACAGAGGAUACUUGCCCCAAAAGCAAACAGCAUUGGUCUGAUGAGUACCCCUCAAGGAGCAACCAUGAUGGACAACUUGGAAAAACUUUCUGUGGACAUCCCCUUCUCACAUGUUCUUCCUGUGUUCUGCUUACACUGAUGGCAUGAGUAGUGGGAGAGAAUGUGACCAAAGGUGUAAACGUACUAAAAAGAUCAGCAUAAGCCUUGGAGGGCACGAGGCAGCAUUGACACAGGUCUGUGAACUGGAGACUGCAGCUCAUUAAGAGAGGUAGCAGAGUCUGUUAGCAAUUGGGAAACUACUCAGGAAUCCUUGUUGUCAGUUUUCUUGCAUGAGGUCCUUCUUGCACACUUAACC